GAUGAACGCUGGCGGCGUGCCUAAUACAUGCAAGUCGAGCGAACGGACGAGAAGCUUGCUUCUCUGAUGUUAGCGGCGGACGGGUGAGUAACACGUGGAUAACCUACCUAUAAGACUGGGAUAACUUCGGGAAACCGUAGCUAAUACCGGAUAAUAUUUUGAACCGCAUGGUUCAAAAGUGAAAGACGGUCUUGCUGUCACUUAUAGAUGGAUCCGCGCUGCAUUAGCUAGUUGGUAAGGUAACGGCUUACCAAGGCAACGAUGCAUAGCCGACCUGAGAGGGUGAUCGGCCACACUGGAACUGAGACACGGUCCAGACUCCUACGGGAGGCAGCAGUAGGGAAGCUUCCGCAAUGGGCGAAAGCCUGACGGAGCAACGCCGCGUGAGUGAUGAAGGUCUUCGGAUCGUAAAACUCUGUUAUUAGGGAAGAGCAUAUGUGUAAGUAACUGUGCACAUCUUGACGGUACCUAAUCAGAAAGCCACGGCUAACUACGUG
RNAcentral lists this ribosomal RNA (497 nucleotides) under uncultured bacterium. Its description in RNAcentral is "partial 16S ribosomal RNA". It matches the Rfam family "Bacterial small subunit ribosomal RNA", at positions 28 to 507 of the family's 1533-position model. The record is from RNAcentral.